This 260-nucleotide ribosomal RNA is filed under the name uncultured archaeon. Its description in RNAcentral is "partial 16S ribosomal RNA". It matches the Rfam family "Archaeal small subunit ribosomal RNA", at positions 748 to 1009 of the family's 1478-position model. The record is from RNAcentral.
UAGCCGUAAACGAUACUCGCUAGGUGUCGGCCACGGUGCGACCGUUGUCGGUGCCGUAGGGAAGCCGUGAAGCGAGCCACCUGGGAAGUACGGCCGCAAGGCUGAAACUUAAAGGAAUUGGCGGGGGAGCACCACAACGGGUGGAGCUUGCGGUUUAAUUGGAUUCAACGCCGGAAAUCUUACCGGGACCGACAGCAACAUGAAGGCCAGGCUGAAGACUUGCCGGAUUAGCUGAGAGGAGGUGCAUGGCGUAGUCGUGU